RNAcentral lists this ribosomal RNA (775 nucleotides) under uncultured bacterium. Its description in RNAcentral is "bacterial SSU rRNA". It matches the Rfam family "Bacterial small subunit ribosomal RNA", at positions 64 to 860 of the family's 1533-position model. The record is from RNAcentral.
GAGCGAUCUUCUUCGGAAGAGAGCGGCGGACGGGUGAGUAACGCGUGGGUAACCUGCCUCAUACACAUGGAUAACAUACCGAAAGGUAUGCUAAUACAAGAUGAUAUAAGAGAUUCGCAUGAAUUUCUUAUCAAAGCUCCGGCGGUAUGAGAUGGACCCGCGUCUGAUUAGCUAGUUGGUAAGGUAACGGCUUACCAAGGCGACGAUCAGUAGCCGACCUGAGAGGGUGAUCGGCCACAUUGGAACUGAGACACGGUCCAAACUCCUACGGGAGGCAGCAGUGGGGAAUAUUGCACAAUGGGCGAAAGUCUGAUGCAGCGACGCCGCGUGGGGGAUGAAGGCUUUCGGGUUGUAAACUCCUUUCAGUACAGAAGAAGCGAAAGUGACGGUAUGUGCAGAAGAAGCACCGGCUAACUACGUGCCAGCAGCCGCGGUAAUACGUAGGGUACGAGCGUUGUCCGGAAUUAUUGGGCGUAAAGAGCUCGUAGGCGGUUUGUUGCGCCUGCUGUGAAAACCUGGGGCUUAACUUCGGGAUUGCAGUGGGUACGGGCAGACUAGAGUGUGGUAGGGGUAAUUGGAAUUCCUGGUGUAGCGGUGGAAUGCGCAGAUAUCAGGAGGAACACCGAUGGCGAAGGCAGGUUACUGGGCCACCACUGACGCUGAGGAGCGAAAGCGUGGGUAGCGAACAGGAUUAGAUACCCUGGUAGUCCACGCCGUAAACGUUGGGCACUAGGUGUGGGGCCUUUCCAUGGGUUCUGCGCCGUAGCUAACGCAU